This 400-nucleotide ribosomal RNA is filed under the name uncultured bacterium. RNAcentral's name for it is "bacterial SSU rRNA". It matches the Rfam family "Bacterial small subunit ribosomal RNA", at positions 355 to 747 of the family's 1533-position model. The record is from RNAcentral.
UGGGGAAUUUUGGACAAUGGGCGAAAGCCUGAUCCAGCCAUUCCGCGUGAGUGAAGAAGGCCUUCGGGUUGUAAAGCUCUUUCGCAAGGGAAGAAAACUUAACCUCUAACAUAGGUUGAGGCUGACGGUACCUUGAUAAGAAGCACCGGCUAACUACGUGCCAGCAGCCGCGGUAAUACGUAGGGUGCGAGCGUUAAUCGGAAUUACUGGGCGUAAAGCGUGCGCAGGCGGCUUGAAAAGUCAGAUGUGAAAUCCCCGGGCUCAACCUGGGAACUGCGUUUGAAACUCUCAAGCUAGAGUAUGUCAGAGGGGGGUAGAAUUCCACGUGUAGCAGUGAAAUGCGUAGAGAUGUGGAGGAAUACCGAUGGCGAAGGCAGCCCCCUGGGAUAAUACUGACGCU